GGGCCCGCACAAGCGGUGGAGCAUGUGGUUUAAUUCGACGCAACGCGAAGAACCUUACCUGGACUUGACAUCCCUUGACCGCCUAUGAAAGUAGGUUUUGUGUGUAGCAAUACAUGCACAAGGAGACAGGUGCUGCAUGGCUGUCGUCAGCUCGUGUCGUGAGAUGUUGGGUUAAGUCCCGCAACGAGCGCAACCCUUGUCCUUAGUUACCAGCACGUAAAGGUGGGGACUCUAAGGAGACUGCCGGUAAGAAGCCGGAGGAAGGUGGGGAUGACGUCAAGUCAGCAUGGCCCUUACGUUCAGGGCGACACACGUGCUACAAUGGAUCGAACAGAGGGUAGCAAUACAGUGAUGUGGAGCCAAUCCCUAAACCGGUCCUCAGUUCGGAUCGGAGGCUGCAACCCGCCUCCGUGAAGCCGGAAUCGCUAGUAAACGCAGAUCAGCCAUGCUGCGUUGAAUACGUUCCCGGGCCUU
This 474-nucleotide ribosomal RNA is filed under the name uncultured bacterium. RNAcentral's name for it is "bacterial SSU rRNA". It matches the Rfam family "Bacterial small subunit ribosomal RNA", at positions 917 to 1382 of the family's 1533-position model. The record is from RNAcentral.